UAUGACCGUAAGGACAUGUGGACAGUAUACGAGUGAGAAUGUUGGCAUGAGUAGCGAGACGUGGGUGAGAAUCCCACGGGCCGUAAACCCAAGGUUUCCAGGGGAAGGUUCGUCCGCCCUGGGUUAGUCGGGACCUAAGCCGAGGCCGAAAGGCGUAGGUGAUGGACAACAGGUUGAUAUUCCUGUACCGCCAAUAAGCGUUUGAGAGAUGGAGUGACACAGUAGGAUAAGCUAACCGUACUGUUGGUUAUGUACGGCUAAGCAUUGAGGCAGUCUAAAUAGGCAAAUCCGUUUAGACAAUGCUAGGAUGUGAUGGGGAAGCCCUUCGGGGCGAAGUAGCUGAUUUCACACUGUCAAGAAAAGCUUCUAUCGAGUUUAAAGGCGCCCGUACCGUAAACCGACACAGGUGGGUGAGGAGAGUAUCCUAAGGCCAGCGAGAGAACUAUUGUUAAGGAACUCGGCAAAAUGACCCCGUAACUUAGGGAGAAGGGGUGCCUGUCUAUGACAGGCCGCAGAGAAUAGGCCCAAGCGACUGUUUACCAAAAACACAGGUUUCUGCUAAGUCGCAAGACGAUGUACAGGAGCUGACGCCUGCCCGGUGCUGGAAGGUUAAGGGGAUCUGUUAGAGCAAUCGAAGCAGUGAACUUAAGCCCCAGUAAACGGCGGCCGUAACGAUAACGGUCCUAAGGUAGCGAAAUUCCUUGUCGGGUAAGUUCCGACCCGCACGAAAGGCGUAACGAUUUGGGCACUGUCUCAACAAUAGACUCGGUGAAAUUGUAAUCCCGGUGAAGAUGCCGGGUACCUGCGACAGGACGGAAAGACCCCAUGGAGCUUUACUGUAGCUUGACGUUGGGUCUUGGUACUACAUGUACAGGAUAGGUGGGAGACUAUGAAGCAUGGACGCCAGUCUGUGUGGAGUCAUCCUUGGGAUACCACCCUUGUAGUACUGGGAUCCUAACCAUAGGCCUUAAAUCAGGUCUUGGAACACCGUCAGGUGGGCAGUUUGACUGGGGCGGUCGCCUCCUAAAAAGUAACGGAGGCGCUCAAAGGUUUCCUCAGCACGGUCGGAAAUCGUGCGAAGAGUGUAAAGGCAAAAGGAAGCUUGAUUGCAAGACAUACAGGUCGAGCAAGGACGAAAGUCGGACUUAGUGAUCCGGUGGUACCGCAUGGAAGGGCCAUCGCUCAACGGAUAAAAGCUACCCUGGGGAUAACAGGCUUAUCUCCCCCAAGAGUCCACAUCGACGGGGAGGUUUGGCACCUCGAUGUCGGCUCAUCACAUCCUGGGGCUGUAGUAGGUCCCAAGGGUUGGGCUGUUCGCCCAUUAAAGUGGUACGCGAGCUGGGUUCAGAACGUCGUGAGACAGUUCGGUCCCUAUCCGUCGCAGGCGUAGGAAAUUUGAGAAGACCUGUCCUUAGUACGAGAGGACCGGGAUGGACGUACCUCUGGUGUACCAGUUGUUCUGCCAAGGGCAUGGCUGGGUAGCUAUGUACGGAAUGGAUAAGCGCUGAAAGCAUCUAAGCGCGAAGCCAACUUCAAGAUAAGAUUUCCCACCGUAAGGGUAAGACCCCAGGAAGACUACCUGGUUGAUAGGUCGAAGGUGUAAGUGCAGUAAUGUAUUUAGCUUAUCGAUACUAAUAGGUCGAGGACUUGAUC
RNAcentral lists this ribosomal RNA (1653 nucleotides) under metagenome. Its description in RNAcentral is "bacterial LSU rRNA". It matches the Rfam family "Bacterial large subunit ribosomal RNA", at positions 1256 to 2925 of the family's 2925-position model. The record is from RNAcentral.